CUGAUCAGAAGGCAUCAUCCCAACCCUCCACGACACCUGUUGAGGAGGAGAGAAUGAAGCGUUUGGAGAACCUCAAAAUUGCCCUCCACAAGAUGCAAAAGGAGAGAGAUGAACUCAGGAGAAUCCUGGCGGAUUACCCAGGAAAGAAUUUAAAUGACAGGAACAAGUUUGAGUCCGAGAUGCUCAUGAAGCAGCACCAGGAAGUGAUGACCGACAUGAAGAAAAUGAGCUAGCAGAUCAAUUAUGCUUUGGUCAAAUGUAAAAACCUUACACUGGAAAAUGACUGGUACUGCCGCACCUUCUGCCCCCUCCUAACUGAGUGUUUUGAGCUGAAGAACAAUGCCCAGAGAGCAGGGAAUGAGUACAAAGGGCUUCUAAGGGAUCAGAUUGCACUGGAAGAAUCCAUUAAGGAAACAACAAGGUUCUGUGGGGAAGCCAGUAUAAAAUCCGUGUACCAAGCAGCCUAAGGUCUGAACACUGCAGCAGACGCUUGCCCAUGGCCCAGACCAGGACUACAGCUCUCAGAGAGAGACCUGUCCACCAGGAGCACUGAGGGUGCAAAGAUUGACAACACCUCCCGCAUCUCAGUCCUCGUAACCAUACAACAACAAACCAACCCGAAUGAGGCGUCUACAUUCCUCUUGAAGAGAUUUUUACCAUCUUACCUGCCGUUCUGCUGUGUUUGCAAGGCCAGCAAGAGGCUGGGGUUAUAUGUUGAAAAAUCAGCAGCAAUUGAAUGCUGAGUAAUUUACUUGUUAUAUUUGGUUUUUACUUUGAAGUUUGGUUGUUUUAUGCAUUUGGUUUUAUUUGUUUAAGUUUGAAGUUUUGUUAUUCAUUUGUUAACUUUAGUUUUUCUUAAUUAAUAUGCCAUAUUCCUAAGGCUAUAUAUAUUGAACUCAUUGACUCCCCACUUUAAAAUGUUCUUGAAUAAAUUAAUGUUAGCCUAUAAAUAAAAACGUGACCUUUAACCCUUCACUCACAAGGCCGUCCUGAGUCGUGUGUGGUUCUUCCUCCUGUAACAGCACAAGUGUAAGGCAACAGUGGUUUUCUGCAAGUCUCAUGCAGCGUAGGCUUCACCAUCAGUUCACAGCAGCCAGAGCUGCACAGGAAACUGUGCUCUUGAUGUAGACAGUGUGUCAUGCUCUGUGGAACCCCCUUCAUGAUGAAAAAUGUCCUCGCUUCAUCCCUGUGGUCACAAAUUUAGCUUCCUUUAUAGUGACAAACACAGAAGUAUUUCUCUAAUACAUUAGAGGACAUACAAACAUUGAUUAUGGGAAUAUAAAAUGUUCAGGACACACAGAGUUUGAUGCCUGUGGAUUCCUUGAAAUACAGCAUCAGCUAUGACUGCACAUUUAAUGAAUUCCACCAAUUUUAGAGGAAUGAACAUUUUUACUAUUUUUGUUGUUGGUUUGUUUGUUGUUAUUGAUAAUGAUGUUUUGCUGAGUUCAUUUUGAUAUAUAUCAUAGCUUCUU
Rattus norvegicus (Norway rat) is the source of this 1472-nucleotide RNA transcript. It is a transcript of the gene named disks large homolog 5-like, with no coding region annotated. The record is from RefSeq and is a predicted model, not a curated record. Lineage: Eukaryota; Metazoa; Chordata; Mammalia; Rodentia; Muridae.